Molecule: small RNA, 154 nt
Filed under: Arabidopsis thaliana (thale cress)
Lineage: Eukaryota; Viridiplantae; Streptophyta; Magnoliopsida; Brassicales; Brassicaceae
Description: ATSL168080
Source: RNAcentral
UUGAAGCAAAAAAUCCCCAUGCUUUGACUGCUGUAUUGUACAAAGGAAUAGCAUAUGAGAAUUUUGUUGAAGAAUGCUACAGGGCACCUUUAUGGGUGGAGCCUUAUGGAGAGGACGGAGGAUGGGUACAAAUCGAUGGAGCUUACUCGGCUUA